Molecule: ribosomal RNA, 496 nt
Filed under: uncultured bacterium
Lineage: Bacteria
Description: partial 16S ribosomal RNA
Rfam family: Bacterial small subunit ribosomal RNA
Source: RNAcentral
AUGAACGCUGGCGGCGUGCCUAAUACAUGCAAGUCGAGCGAACGGACGAGAAGCUUGCUUCUCUGAUGUUAGCGGCGGACGGGUGAGUAACACGUGGAUAACCUACCUAUAAGACUGGGAUAACUUCGGGAAACCGGAGCUAAUACCGGAUAAUAUUUUGAACCUCAUGGUUCAAAAGUGAAAGACGGUCUUGCUGUCACUUAUAGAUGGAUCCGCGCUGCAUUAGCUAGUUGGUAAGGUAACGGCUUACCAAGGCAACGAUGCAUAGCCGACCUGAGAGGGUGAUCGGCCACACUGGAACUGAGACACGGUCCAGACUCCUACGGGAGGCAGCAGUAGGGAAUCUUCCGCAAUGGGCGAAAGCCUGACGGAGCAACGCCGCGUGAGUGAUGAAGGUCUUCGGAUCGUAAAACUCUGUUAUUAGGGAAGAACAUAUGUGUAAGUAACUGUGCACAUCUUGACGGUACCUAAUCAGAAAGCCACGGCUAACUACGUG